AACAGGGGUGCCUCCGGGCUGAGAUGCUUCGUUCGAAAGGACGCGGCAAACCCUCGAACCUGAUAUGGAUCAUACCAGCGUAGGGAGUUUUU
Molecule: non-coding RNA, 92 nt
Filed under: bovine gut metagenome
Source: RNAcentral